AUGGCGGAGGGCGCCCCUGACGAUGAGACGCUCGAGCUCACGCCCACAUGGAUCCUUGCGAUCGUCUGUGCCCUGAUGGUGGUCAUCUCCAUGGCCGCGGAACGCGGCCUGCACUACCUUGGCAAGAAGUUGAAGCGCAAUAACCAGAAACAGCUGUACGAGGCCGUCCUCAAGGUCAAAGAAGAGCUGAUGCUUCUCGGCUUCAUCUCCCUGCUGCUGACGGUGUGUCAAGGGAUGAUCGAGGAGAUCUGCAUUCCUCCUGACUGGAGAAUGCAUAUGCUGCCAUGCAAAAGACAGGAGGUGGCGCCCGCAAAGGAGCAUUUAGUUGCAACCCAGAUCAUUGGCAGAAUCGGGAGGCGGCUACUCAGCAAGGAUGCAACGGGAGCCGAGACCUGCAGGCAGAAGGGAAAAAUUCAUCUGAUGUCCCUUGAAUCUGUGCAUCAGUUGCAUGAGUUCAUAUUUGUGCUGGCUAUUACACAUGUCGUAUUCAGUGCUUUGACAAUACUUUUAGGAGGUGCAAAGAUGCAUCAAUGGAAACAGUGGGAGGAGGAUGCUAUUCAGAAAGAUACUGCAGGAAACGGGCCCAAGAAGGUGACCCUUGUACAGAAUUCCGAAUUUGUCAAGGAAAAUUUUAAGGGUAAUGACAAAUAUUCUAGAGUAUUGAGUUGGCUGCAUUGUUUUUUCAAGCAAUUCUACAGAUCAGUAAGUAAAACUGAUUACAGGACAAUGCGUCUUGGUUUUAUCAUGGCCCACUGCCCUGGGAACCUGAAAUUUGAUUUCAAUGAAUACAUGUUGCGGGUUUUGGAGUCUGAUUUUAAGGUGGUGGUUGGCAUAAGCUGGUACUUGUGGGUUUUCGUGGUGAUAUUUCUGUUGCUGAAUAUAAACGGCUGGAACACAUACUUUUGGAUUGCAUUCCUUCCCCUUAUUCUUCUGUUGGCUGCUGGGACUAAAUUAGAGCACGUCAUAGCUCAGUUAGCCCGGGAUGUCGCUGAGAAGCACUCCGCUCUCGAGGGUGAUUUGAUUGUAAAGCCAUCAGAUGACCACUUCUGGUUUGGGCGGCCGAGGAUUGUCUUAUUCCUGAUCCACUUUAUCCUCUUCCAGAACGCCUUCGAGAUUGCAUUUUUCUUCUGGAUACUGACCACUUAUGGAUUCAACUCGUGCAUCAUGGGGCAUGUAGGUUUUAUUGUGCCGAGGCUUGUUAUUGGGGUCAUUAUUCAGCUUCUCUGCAGCUACUGCACUCUGCCUCUGUAUGCAGUUGUAACACAGAUGGGAAGCUUCUACAAGAAGGAGAUCUUUAAUAAGCAUGUCCAGCAGGGUGUUCUGUCUUGGGCUCAGAAGGCUAAGAUGAAGAAGGCAUUGGAGAAGAGCAAUGGCACAGCAGAAUCAACGAGCACUGUUGAUUCAGCAGGGCCUUCUACUAAGAUUGAAAUGAUGAAACCAGCAACGCGGGAAGGCAAUGAUGAUUCAGCAGGGCCUUCUACUAAGAUUGAAAUGAUGAAACCAGCAACGCGGGAAGGCAAUGAUGAUUCAGCAGGGCCUUCUACUAAGAUUGAAAUGAUGAAACCAGCAACGCGGGAAGGCAAUGAUGACGGUGAAAUCAUAGAAUGGAGCCGUGUUGUCUAG
RNAcentral lists this ribosomal RNA (1623 nucleotides) under Triticum aestivum (bread wheat). Its description in RNAcentral is "partial small subunit ribosomal RNA". Lineage: Eukaryota; Viridiplantae; Streptophyta; Magnoliopsida; Poales; Poaceae. The record is from RNAcentral.